This 495-nucleotide ribosomal RNA is filed under the name uncultured bacterium. RNAcentral's name for it is "bacterial SSU rRNA". It matches the Rfam family "Bacterial small subunit ribosomal RNA", at positions 791 to 1285 of the family's 1533-position model. The record is from RNAcentral.
UAGUCCACGCCGUAAACGAUGAUAACUAGCUGUCCGGGCUCAUAGAGCUUGGGUGGCGCAGCUAACGCAUUAAGUUAUCCGCCUGGGGAGUACGGUCGCAAGAUUAAAACUCAAAGGAAUUGACGGGGGUCUGCACAAGCGGUGGAGCAUGUGAUUUAAUUCGAAGCAACGCGCAGAACCUUACCAGCCUUUGACAUCCUAGGACGGUUUCUGGAGACAGACUCCUUCCCUUCGGGGACCUAGUGACAGGUGCUGCAUGGCUGUCGUCAGCUCGUGUCGUGAGAUGUUGGGUUAAGUCCCGCAACGAGCGCAACCCUCAUCCUUAGUUGCCAUCAUUUAGUUGGGCACUUUAAGGAAACUGCCGGUGAUAAGCCGGAGGAAGGUAAGGAUGACGUCAAGUCAGCAUGCCCCUUAUGCUCUGGGCUACACACGUGCUACAAUGGCCGUGACAAAGAGUUGCUACUUUGUGAAAACAAGCUAAUCUCAUAAACGCGG